This 3079-nucleotide long non-coding RNA is filed under the name Durio zibethinus. Its description in RNAcentral is "long non-coding RNA (DZIB_LNC002236)". The record is from RNAcentral. Lineage: Eukaryota; Viridiplantae; Streptophyta; Magnoliopsida; Malvales; Malvaceae.
GAUUUUGGAGCUUAAAACAUCAGACGUUGUUUUUGAACAAUCUAGCAUAAAAACCACUCGCCCAAUUUUUGCACGAUUUUAAAUUUUCAGUGUGUUUCAUACUUAUUUACUUUUAGAUACAUUUUUAAGUUCUCUAAGGAACUUAUGAGAUUACAUAUGAAAGAUAUAGAUAUUUGUAUAUUAUUUGUGAAGUUGUUAUUGGCGCUUGAUGUUAUAAAUUAUGUGCUAACUUGUUUUAACAGUUUAUAGGGAUAGCUGUUGAAGCGUAAUACUUUUAAAAUUUUUUGUUUUGCUUUGAAAAUUAUUUUCACUGGAGUCAAGCUUUAAAAUAUGAAAGCAUUGUUUUAGCAGGUUUUUAAAUGCAAAAGAAUUUGAAUAUCUUCAAUUCCAACGUUUUAAACGUGCUCGAAAAAUAAACAUAGUAAAACUUGCGUUUGUUUUAAUUUUUGACAGUUUUAAGUGUAAGUUAGGUAAAACUAGCAUUGGUUUUUAAUUUUUCACAGUGUUAAGCGUAACUUAGAAAGUAUUUUGAAGCUCAAAAUAUCAGACUUUAUUUUCGAACAAUUCUGGCAUAAAAAACAUUAGAACAAUUUUCGUGUGAUUUUAAUUUUUUGUUGUUUUUCAUAGUGUUAAGUGUAAGUUAUAAAGGAUUUUGAAGUUUAAAACAUCAGACUUUGGUUUUGAACAAUUAUGGGCAUAAAAACCAUUCGCACAAUUAUCGCACAAUUUUAAUUUUUUGCUGUGUUUCAUAGUUAUUUGCUUUUAGAUACAUUUUUAGGUGCUCUAAGGAUUUUGAGGAAUUACAUAUGAAUGAUCUUCAUAUUUGGAUAUUAUUUAUGAAGUUGUUAUUGGUGCUUAAUGUGAAUAAUUAUGUGCUAAAUUGUUUUAGCAGUUUAUAGGGGGAGCACUAAAAGCCUAAUGCUUUUGAAAUUUUAUGUUUUCCUUUGAAAAUGAUUUUCACUGGAGUCAAGAUUUAAAAUAUGAAAGCAUUGUUUUAGCAGGUUUUUAAAUGAAAAUGAAUUUGAAUAUCUUGAAUCCAAUGUUUUAAACUCACUCAAACAAAGAAACUUGGUAAAACUUGCGUUGGUUUUAAUUUUUCAUAGUGUUAAGUGGAAGUUAUAAAGGAUUUUGCAACUUAAAACAUCAGAUUAUGUUUCUGAACAAUUCUGGGCAUAAAAACCAUUUGCACAAUUAUUGCAUGAUUUUAAUAUUUCUUUGUGUUUCAUACUUAUUUGCUUUUAGAUACAUUUUUAGGUGCUUUAAGGAUGUUUAGGAAUUACAUAUGAAUUAAAUUCAUAUUUGGAUAUUAUUUGUGAAGUUGGAUAUUGUUAUGUGCUUUCUACCAGUUUAUAGGGGGAGCACUCGAAGCCUAAUGCUUUUGAAAUUUUAUGUUUUGCUUUGAAAAUGAUUUUCACUAGAGUAAAGCUUUAAAAUAAGAAAGCAUUGUUUUAGAAGGUUUUUAAAUGGAAACGAAUUUGAAAAUCCUGAAUCCAAUGUUUCAAACCUGCUCAAACAAAGAAACAUAUAAAAACUUCCAUUGGUUUUAAUUUUUCAUAGUGUUAAGUGUAAGUUAUAGAGGAUUUUGGAGCUUAAAACAUCAGACUUUUCUUUCUGAACGAUUUUGGGCAUAAAAACCAUUCGCACAAUUAUUGCACAAUUUUAAUUUUUCAUUGUGUUCAUACUUAUUUUCUUUUAGAUGCAAAUUUAGGCGCUCUAAGGAGUUGAGGAAUUACAUAUGAAUGAUCUUGAUAUUUGGAUAUUAUUUGUGAAGUUGUUAUUGGCGCUUGAUGUGAUUAGUUAUCUGCGAACUUGUUUUAGCAGUUUAUAGAAGGAGCACUAAAAGCCUAAUGCUUUUGAAAUUUUAUGUUUUUCUUCGAAUAUGAUUUUCUCUAUAGUCCAGCUUAAAAACAUGAAAGAAUUGUUUUAGAAGGGUUUUAAAUGGAAAUGAAUUUGAAUAUAUUGAAUCGAAUGUUUUAAACUUGCUCAAACAAUGAAACAAGGUAAAACUAGCAUUGGUUUUUAAUUUUUCAUAGUGUUAAGCGUAACUUAGAAAGGAUUUUGAAGUUCAAAAUAUCAGACUUUGUUUUCAAACAAUUCUGGGCAUAAAAAACAUUCGAACAAUUUUCGUGUGAUUUUAAUUUUUUGUUGUUUUUCAUAGUGUUAAGUGUAAGUUAUACAAAGGAUUUUGAAGUUUACAACAUCAGACUUUGGUUUUGAACAAUUCUGGGCAUAAAAACCAUUCGCACAAUUAUCGCACGAUUUUAAUUUUUCACUGUGUUUCAUACUUAUUUGCUUUUAGAUGCAUUUUUAGGUGCUCUAAGGAUUUUGAGGAAUUACAUAUGAAUGAUCUUCAUAUUUGGAUAUUAUUUAUGAAGUUGUUAUUGGUGCUUAAUGUGUGCUAAAUUGUUUUAGCAGUUUAUAGGGGGAGCACUCGAAGCCUAAUGCUUUUGAAACUUUAUGUUUUCCUUUGAAAAUGAUUUUCACUGGAGUCAAGCUUUAAAAUAUGAAAGCAUUGUUUUAGCAGGUUUUUAAAUGGAAAUGAAUUUGAAUAUCUUGAAUCUAAUGUUUUAAACCCACUCAAACAAAGAAACUUGGUAAAACUUGCGUUGGUUUUAAUUUUUCAUAGUGUUAAGUGAAAGUUAUAAAAGGAUUUUGUAGCUUAAAACAUCGGACUUUGUUUCUGAACAAUUCUGGGCAUAAAAACUAUUCGCACAAUUAUUGCACGAUUUUAAUAUUUCAUUAUGUUUCAUACUUAUUUGCUUUUAGAUACAUUUUUAGGUGCUCUAAGGAUGUUUGGGAAUUACAUAUGAAUGAAAUUCAUAUUUGGAUAUUAUUUGUGAAGUUGGAUAUUGUUAUGUGCUUUCUACCAGUUUAUAGGGGUUAGCUUUUGAAAUUUUAUGUUUUGCUUUGAAAACGAUUUUCACUAGAGUAAAGCUUUAAAAUAAGAAAGCAUUGUUUUAGAAGGUUUUUAAAUGGAAACGAAUUUGAAAAUCUUGAAUCCAAUGUUUCAAACCUGCUCAAACAAAGAAACAUAUAAAAACUUCCAUUGGUUUUAAUUUUUCAUAGUGUUAAGUGUAAG